Molecule: ribosomal RNA, 1215 nt
Filed under: Bacillus safensis
Lineage: Bacteria; Bacillati; Bacillota; Bacilli; Caryophanales; Bacillaceae
Description: bacterial SSU rRNA
Rfam family: Bacterial small subunit ribosomal RNA
Source: RNAcentral
CUAUACAUGCAAGUCGAGCGGACAGAAGGGAGCUUGCUCCCGGAUGUUAGCGGCGGACGGGUGAGUAACACGUGGGUAACCUGCCUGUAAGACUGGGAUAACUCCGGGAAACCGGAGCUAAUACCGGAUAGUUCCUUGAACCGCAUGGUUCAAGGAUGAAAGACGGUUUCGGCUGUCACUUACAGAUGGACCCGCGGCGCAUUAGCUAGUUGGUGGGGUAAUGGCUCACCAAGGCGACGAUGCGUAGCCGACCUGAGAGGGUGAUCGGCCACACUGGGACUGAGACACGGCCCAGACUCCUACGGGAGGCAGCAGUAGGGAAUCUUCCGCAAUGGACGAAAGUCUGACGGAGCAACGCCGCGUGAGUGAUGAAGGUUUUCGGAUCGUAAAGCUCUGUUGUUAGGGAAGAACAAGUGCGAGAGUAACUGCUCGCACCUUGACGGUACCUAACCAGAAAGCCACGGCUAACUACGUGCCAGCAGCCGCGGUAAUACGUAGGUGGCAAGCGUUGUCCGGAAUUAUUGGGCGUAAAGGGCUCGCAGGCGGUUUCUUAAGUCUGAUGUGAAAGCCCCCGGCUCAACCGGGGAGGGUCAUUGGAAACUGGGAAACUUGAGUGCAGAAGAGGAGAGUGGAAUUCCACGUGUAGCGGUGAAAUGCGUAGAGAUGUGGAGGAACACCAGUGGCGAAGGCGACUCUCUGGUCUGUAACUGACGCUGAGGAGCGAAAGCGUGGGGAGCGAACAGGAUUAGAUACCCUGGUAGUCCACGCCGUAAACGAUGAGUGCUAAGUGUUAGGGGGUUUCCGCCCCUUAGUGCUGCAGCUAACGCAUUAAGCACUCCGCCUGGGGAGUACGGUCGCAAGACUGAAACUCAAAGGAAUUGACGGGGGCCCGCACAAGCGGUGGAGCAUGUGGUUUAAUUCGAAGCAACGCGAAGAACCUUACCAGGUCUUGACAUCCUCUGACACCCUAGAGAUAGGGCUUUCCCUUCGGGGACAGAGUGACAGGUGGUGCAUGGUUGUCGUCAGCUCGUGUCGUGAGAUGUUGGGUUAAGUCCCGCAACGAGCGCAACCCUUGAUCUUAGUUGCCAGCAUUCAGUUGGGCACUCUAAGGUGACUGCCGGUGACGAGGAAGGUGGGGAUGACGUCAAAUCAUCAUGCCCCUUAUGACCUGGGCUACACACGUGCUACAAUGGACAGAAGAAAGUGCAGCAAGAC